AGAAUCAACGCUGGCGGCGUGCCUAACACAUGCAAGUCGAACGAGAAAGUGGAGCAAUCCAUGAGUAAAGUGGCGACCGGGUGAGUAACACGUGACUAACCUACCUUCGAGUGGGGAUAACCUCGGGAAACCGGGCUAAUACCGCAUAAAAUCUUUGGAUCGGAAGAACUGGAGAUCAAUGGAGCAAUUCGCUUGAAGAGGGGGUCGCGGCUGAUUAGCUAGUUGGCGGGUAAUGGCCCACCAAGGCUUUUGAUCGGUA
This 259-nucleotide ribosomal RNA is filed under the name uncultured bacterium. RNAcentral's name for it is "partial small subunit ribosomal RNA". It matches the Rfam family "Bacterial small subunit ribosomal RNA", at positions 26 to 285 of the family's 1533-position model. The record is from RNAcentral.